GGCCCCAUCGUCUAACGGUUAGGACGUCAGGUUCUCAACCUGGCAAUCAGGGUUCGAUUCCCUGUGGGGUCACCA
Molecule: transfer RNA, 75 nt
Filed under: Patescibacteria group bacterium
Lineage: Bacteria
Description: tRNA-Glu
Rfam family: tRNA
About the family: Transfer RNA (tRNA) molecules are approximately 80 nucleotides in length. Their secondary structure includes four short double-helical elements and three loops (D, anti-codon, and T loops). Further hydrogen bonds mediate the characteristic L-shaped molecular structure. tRNAs have two regions of fundamental functional importance: the anti-codon, which is responsible for specific mRNA codon recognition, and the 3' end, to which the tRNAs corresponding amino acid is attached (by aminoacyl-tRNA synthetases). tRNAs cope with the degeneracy of the genetic code in two manners: having more than one tRNA (with a specific anti-codon) for a particular amino acid; and 'wobble' base-pairing, i.e. permitting non-standard base-pairing at the 3rd anti-codon position.
Source: RNAcentral